This is a non-coding RNA of Vicugna pacos (alpaca), 102 nucleotides long. The record is from RefSeq and is a predicted model, not a curated record. NCBI's taxonomy places the organism in Eukaryota, Metazoa, Chordata, Mammalia, Artiodactyla, Camelidae.
UAUCCCCCUGUGUUAUUUCACCCCAGAGCACUUAGCUGCUUCCUAACAUGGGGUUGACCCUUGAACAACAUGGGUCUGAAAUAUACCGGAAGAGCACAGGUC